CAAUAGCGUAUAUUAAAGUUGUUGCAGUUAAAAAGCUCGUAGUUGGAUUUCUGGUCGGAAGCUCCUGUCCUCUGAUGAGCGUACAAGUGCGUCCUACCAUCCUUCUGUUAACCUUUAAGGCUUUCGCGGCUUUCUAGGGGCUCAGAUAUUUUACCUUGAGAAAAUUAGAGUGUUUCAGGCAGGCUAGCGCCGGAAUACAUUAGCAUGGAAUAAUGGAAUAGGACUUUUGCCUCUUCUGUUGGUCAUGAGGCUCGAGUAAUGAUUAAUAGGGAUAGUUGGGGGCAUUAGUACUUAACUGUCAGUGGUGAAAUUCUCGGAUUUGUUAAAGACUAACUUAUGCGAAANCANNNGCCAAGGAUGUUUUCAUNAA
This 370-nucleotide ribosomal RNA is filed under the name uncultured eukaryote. Its description in RNAcentral is "partial 18S ribosomal RNA". It matches the Rfam family "Eukaryotic small subunit ribosomal RNA", at positions 592 to 976 of the family's 1831-position model. The record is from RNAcentral.